CAAGGACAGGGGGAUGGUGGUGAAGGAUUGGGUAGAGCAGGCGGAGAUCCUGCGGCACCGGGUGGUGGGAGGCUUCGUGAGCCACUACGACUGGAACUCAGUGACGGAGGCGGCACUGUACGAAUACCGAGUCGUUGCCGCUCCGCCUCCAAAUCUUGGAGGAUGGAUCUGAACCUCUAUUUGGGUCUGCCUCGUUCUCCGCCUUCUCACAGUCGUGAUCUAGGGUCUGAUCUCUCACUCAACUCGUUGCCCUGGUCAUCUCCUACCACCACCGUCGAGGAAAGGGGUUCUUCGAUUCCUAUGUCUGGCGCUGUGGAACCAUCGGAGUCACAUCCUCCGUACUCUCCCUCCCACGAGGAGUACAACCCUGAGCUGCUGGUUGCUCUUCCAGAGGAUAGUGAUGGCACUUCGUACUUGUGAGAAUUUGAGACCUUUUGUGAAAUUUUGAGAUCUUUCUCAAGCUCCCUUCUUUGGUCUUGUUUCUUUUUCCUUCUUGUUGUCCUUUGUCUUGCCAUUGCAUUCGAGUCCCAAAUCAGCAAUAUAAAUUGAUUAAUCUAUAUGUCUCAGAAAAGUAGAUAUAAGACGACAUUGACAUGUUCAGUAUUUGAUUGAAUCUUGCUCAAGAAUGCUCUGAAGGAGAUCCUACUGGCCCCUCUCAGAUCUUUUAUUCCCUUUUAGCAACGAAGACAACAUGAUGAUUUUCUUGUCAGUGAGAAGCCAUUCUUUUUCAGAUCUCCAAAUGCCUUGAUCAAUCAAGCUGAUUCUCAACUUGGAGUGCUAGUGCAUAAUCAUCCUUGUCCAACUCAAGCAAUCUCCAGGCAAAAUCAAUACCAAACUUGCAUCGUGGUCUAAUUGCAUGCCAGAGAUGAUCUCUCUUCUUUUCCUUUUGCCGCUUUAUCUUUCCCUUUCUUUUUUACCGUCACUGCCUGCUGUAAAUUUCAGACAUUCCUGGCCAUGUUUGUGGCUCAAAGAUCCCAAAAGCCAGCUUGGACUCGUCAAUGGCCACCUCCACAUCUCAGAUGCCCACCACGCCCCCUCUCUCUUUUCCUCAGAGCAAACGUUGAUCCUUGAGCUCGGCACAAUCCCCUCCUCCUCGAUCCUCUCGUUGCCUUGUUCCUAGGUAUGCUUUCCUUUAGAAAAGCAACAAACAAAGAUGCUCUCAUUCCCUUGCUGAACUCCUGGAAUCAAUGGGAACAACUUUGCCUGCACACUAUAUAACCAACACUAAUCUCAUAAUAGUUUUACUGGUUCCCUUUGUUUUCAUGUGAUUAUUCGCUUCUCGCACACACAGAAUCUUCCUCUGCUUAUUGCAACCUAGGAGUUUGUAUGGAGACUAUAGAGCUAAAGGUGGACAUGGUAGCAUUACAUGAGGAGAGAUUGAGGAAAUGUUUGUCCAAAGUGAAAGGCUCCUCGACAACAAGAUGUCAAAUAAUGUGGUUACUAUGUGAUGCGAUUUAUGAGACAAAUUGUUGAAGAAGUUGAAAUUAUCGAAAGAGAUUCACUAUGAUCUAUAUUCACACAAGCAGAGUAUUCUCGAGAAGAAAUUGAUGAGGUGCGAUCGGAGUUGGCAGAAUGUAUACAAGAUCAUAUUUAUGAGUAGGUGCGUUCAAGUUUAUGUGGAUACAGGACAGUCGAGAUCAGUACACUAAGGAGCGUCUGGAUUCAGUAAUUGAUCAGUACACUAAGCGUCUGGAUUCAGUAACUACUGUACUAUUUUGAGUAAACAGAUUGUUAGCUACUUUAGUAUUCAGUAUUCAGUAAACAGAUUGUAGCUAUUCAAAACAAAUUUUUUGUGCUCUUUUGUUUUAUAUGUGAAUAUCACUAUAUACUUUGAAAUAGAAUUAGUGUUAA
Zingiber officinale is the source of this 1851-nucleotide long non-coding RNA. RefSeq lists it as uncharacterized. The transcript is spliced from 6 exons. Lineage: Eukaryota; Viridiplantae; Streptophyta; Magnoliopsida; Zingiberales; Zingiberaceae. The record is from RefSeq and is a predicted model, not a curated record.